RNAcentral lists this ribosomal RNA (283 nucleotides) under uncultured bacterium. Its description in RNAcentral is "partial 16S ribosomal RNA". It matches the Rfam family "Bacterial small subunit ribosomal RNA", at positions 28 to 311 of the family's 1533-position model. The record is from RNAcentral.
GACGAACGCUGGCGGCGUGCUUAACACAUGCAAGUCGAGCGGUAACGGCCCUUUGGGGUACACGAGCGGCGAACGGGUGAGUAACACGUGAGUAAUCUGCCUUUGGCUUGGGAAUAACUUCGGGAAAUCGGGGCUAAUACCUGAUGUUUACUGUCUGCUGCAUGGUGGGUGGUGGAAAGAUUUUUUGGCCAGGGAUGAGCUCGCGGUCUUAUCAGCUUGUUGGUGGGGUAAUGGCUACCUAAGGCUUUGACGGGUAGCCCGGCCUGAGAGGGUGUUCGGCCAC